RNAcentral lists this ribosomal RNA (253 nucleotides) under uncultured bacterium. RNAcentral describes it as "partial 16S ribosomal RNA". It matches the Rfam family "Bacterial small subunit ribosomal RNA", at positions 524 to 776 of the family's 1533-position model. The record is from RNAcentral.
UACGGAGGGUGCGAGCGUUGUCCGGAAUCACUGGGCGUAAAGGGCGCGUAGGCGGCCUGAUAAGUCGGGGGUGAAAUCCUGCGGCUUAACCGCAGGGCUGCCUUCUAAACUGUCAGGCUUGAGCGCAGUAGAGGCAGGUGGAAUUCCCGGUGUAGCGGUGGAAUGCGUAGAGAUCGGGAAGAACAUCAGUGGCGAAGGCGGCCUGCUGGGCUGUUGCUGACGCUGAGGCGCGACAGCGUGGGGAGCAAACAGG